GUGAGGAAUAUUGCGCAAUGGAGGCAACUCUGACGCAGCCAUGCCGCGUGCAGGAAGAAGGCGCUACGCGUUGUAAACUGCUUUUAACCGGGAAGAAACCCCAGGACGUGUCCUGGGUUGACGGUACCGGAGGAAUAAGCACCGGCUAACUUCGUGCCAGCAGCCGCGGUAAUACGAAGGGUGCAAGCGUUAUCCGGAUUCAUUGGGUUUAAAGGGUGCGUAGGGGGAGCGUUAAGUCAGUGGUGAAAUCCUGCAGCUUAACUGUAGACUUGCCAUUGAUACUGGCGCUCUUGAGUGCGCUUGAAGUGGGCGGAAUGUGCCGUGUAGCGGUGAAAUGCUUAGAUAUGGCACAGAACACCAAUUGCGAAGGCAGCUCACUAAGGCGAUACUGACGCUGAGGCACGAAAGCGUGGGGAUCGAACAGGAUUAGAUACCCGGGUAGUCC
RNAcentral lists this ribosomal RNA (445 nucleotides) under uncultured bacterium. Its description in RNAcentral is "partial 16S ribosomal RNA". It matches the Rfam family "Bacterial small subunit ribosomal RNA", at positions 354 to 796 of the family's 1533-position model. The record is from RNAcentral.